AACGAACGCUGGCGGCAGGCUUAACACAUGCAAGUCGAGCGCCCCGCAAGGGGAGCGGCAGACGGGUGAGUAACGCGUGGGAAUCUACCCAUCUCUACGGAAUAACGCAUGGAAACGUGUGCUAAUACCGUAUACGUCCUUCGGGAGAAAGAUUUAUCGGAGAUGGAUGAGCCCGCGUUGGAUUAGCUAGUUGGUGGGGUAAAGGCCUACCCAAGGCGACGAUCCAUAGCUGGUCUGAGAGGAUGAUCAGCCACACUGGGACUGAGACACGGCCCAGACUCCUACGGGAGGCAGCAGUGGGGAAUAUUGGACAAUGGGCGCAAGCCUGAUCCAGCCAUGCCGCGUGAGUGAUGAAGGCCCUAGGGUUGUAAAGCUCUUUCACCGGUGAAGAUAAUGACGGUAACCGGAGAAGAAGCCCCGGCUAACUUCGUGCCAGCCGCCGCGGUAA
This 448-nucleotide ribosomal RNA is filed under the name uncultured Hyphomicrobiales bacterium. Its description in RNAcentral is "bacterial SSU rRNA". It matches the Rfam family "Bacterial small subunit ribosomal RNA", at positions 29 to 523 of the family's 1533-position model. Lineage: Bacteria; Pseudomonadati; Pseudomonadota; Alphaproteobacteria; Hyphomicrobiales. The record is from RNAcentral.